Molecule: RNA transcript, 2205 nt
Organism: Andrographis paniculata
Lineage: Eukaryota; Viridiplantae; Streptophyta; Magnoliopsida; Lamiales; Acanthaceae
Gene name: protein DETOXIFICATION 46, chloroplastic-like
Exons: 15
Source: RefSeq, a predicted model, not a curated record
CGCAUUCUCCAGUUUUCAAGGAACGGGUCUCUCGUAGAGCCGCUCAUUCCAUUCCAUUUGGGCAUUUGGCGCUAUUCUUUCUCGAGCUUCUCGGCGGCGUCAAGCGCAAUCCAAACCAAGCCUCCGCGCCAUGAGUCUCAAAUCUCCAAUUCAUCAAUUUUGCACUCCUAGAUUCGAGAUUGCCCGGACAAGUUUUGGUCGAAAUGGAGUUGUUUCGCGGUCAGGCGUCCGAUAUUUCCGCCUAAAGAGCAAUCGAAUAUUCAUUUCAUGCUGCGCUUCUCCAAUUCAUGAAGUUGCUGGGAGGAGCAUUGCUCCAAUUUCGCAGAAUGAAGAAGAGGAGGAGGAAGAAGAAGGGCAUUUGGACGUAGCCGAGAAAGUGGAGUUGGUCAAAGGAAUCUCUGAGGCUGAGGCAUCCUCGGAGAACGAGAGCUUGUGGAGUCAGAUGGUCGAAAUUGCCAAAUUUUCAGGUCCAGCGGUGGGGCUUUGGAUUUGCGGUCCGAUGAUGAGUUUAAUUGACACUGCUGUUGUUGGUCAGGGGAGCUCAACUGAGCUUGCUGCUCUAGGGCCAGGGACAGUGUUAUGUGAUAAUACAAGUUAUGUUUUUAUGUUUCUUUCCAUUGCUACUUCAAAUUUGGUGGCUACAUCUCUCGCCAGGCAGGAUAGAAAUGAGGUGCAGCAUCAGAUAUCUAUGUUGCUGUUUAUUGGAUUGGCUUGUGGUUUUCUGAUGCUUUUUUGUACAAGGUUAUAUGGUCAGUGGGCAUUAACAGCAUUUACAGGGGCAAAGAAUGCCGAAAUCAUAACCGCAGCUAACACGUAUGUCCAGAUUCGAGGCUUAGCAUGGCCAGCAAUACUAGUUGGAUGGGUUGCUCAAAGUGCAAGCUUAGGAAUGAAAGAUUCCUGGGGACCCUUAAAGGCAUUGGCAGCUGCAAGUGUUAUUAAUGGCAUUGGUGACAUAGUGCUAUGCAGGUUCUUGGAUUAUGGUAUUGCUGGGGCAGCAUGGGCAACAAUGGUAUCUCAGGUUGUUGCAGCUUACAUGAUGGUUGAAGCUUUGAACAGUAAGGGAUAUAAUGGCUAUGCCAUCACUGUUCCAUCACCUAAUGAGCUCCUACAAAUAUUCUCACUUGCAGCUCCAGUAUUUGUAACAAUGAUGUCAAAGGUGGCAUUUUACUCUCUUCUUGUAUAUUUUGCUACAUCAAUGGGUACAAAAACUGUUGCUGCCCAUCAGGUUAUGAUACAAGUGUACUGCAUGUGUACGGUAUUUGGUGAGCCCCUUUCACAAACAUCCCAGUCAUUUAUGCCUGAGCUGAUAUGUGGAGUGAAUCAAAACCUAGCUAAGGCCCGAACAUUGCUUAAAUCACUGGUCAUUAUUGGUGCGGCAAGUGGACUGAUAUUAGGAUGUAUUGGUACUUCAGUUCCUUGGCUAUUCCCUAAAAUAUUUUCACCUGAUCUUGAGGUCAUACAGGAGAUGCACAAGGUGCUUAUACCUUUCUUCCUUGCUCUGUGCAUCACACCCAGUACUCACAGCCUUGAGGGCACAUUAAUGGCCGGACGAGACUUGAAAUUCCUGAGCAUGUCUAUGGGUGGGAUCUUCUGCUUGGGCUCCCUUGUCCUUCUGCUGGCGAGCAGUCGAGCUUACAGUUUAUCUACUUGUUGGUUUACUCUUGUGGCAUUUCAAUGGUCCCGAUUCCUUGUUGCCUUGCGCCGCCUCACCUUGCGAAACGGGAUACUUUACAAUGAAAAUGCAACAAAUCAUAAGUUGAAAUCUGCAUAGCGGGACUCGAAAAGCUUGGUCGGUCUAUGUGUGUUGUGUUUUUUAACUCACAAAAGGCCAUUCAGCUGCAAUGCAAGCAUGGUUCGGCCGGAGUUUAUCCAGUGCGCACUUUCAAGUAGCGGCUGCGGGUUCCGACGUUAUAAAAGAAAAUAAGUAUAUAUUGUAAAUAUGAAUAUUAUAGAAAUAAACAAAUAAAAAUAUUAAUUAUAAAAAUAACAAAUAAAAAUAUUAAUUACUCCGAUUAUUAAUAACUAUUUUGUAUAUUAUAUAUUUAUUAUGUAGUAAGUGUUGGCAGAGUUGUAUAUAUAAAUAUAUUAUAUUUAUAUAAAUAUAUGUAUACGUAUGUAUAUAGGCAAUGUUUAUAAGUGUUUGUAUAGAUGAAUGUAGGAGAAUUGAAUGCAUCACCGUAUAAUGUAUACGCAGAUAUUAUGUAC